RNAcentral lists this microRNA precursor (189 nucleotides) under Oryza sativa Japonica Group (Japanese rice). Its description in RNAcentral is "MIR812 microRNA precursor family". It matches the Rfam family "MIR812 microRNA precursor family". The record is from Rfam by way of RNAcentral. Lineage: Eukaryota; Viridiplantae; Streptophyta; Magnoliopsida; Poales; Poaceae.
AAUGUAUGACGCCGUUGACUUUUUAUCCAACGUUUGAUCAUUCGUCUUAUUUAAAAAAUUUAUGUAAUUAUCAUUUAUUUUAUUAUGAGUUGAUUCGUCAUCAAAUGUUCUUCAAGCAUGACAUAAAUAUUUUUAUAUUUACACAAAAUUUUUAAAUAAAACGAAUGGUCAAACGUUGAUAAAAAGUCA